GACGAACGCUGGCGGCGUGCUUAAUACAUGCAAGUCAACUGAACUUAAGAUAGCAAUAUUUUAAGGGAGGUGGCGCACGGGUGAGUAACACGUAGGUAAUCUGCCUUUAGGUCUGACACAACCCCGAGAAAUCGGGGCUAAUAUCAGAUGAUGCAGCGGCUCGACAUCGAGACAGUUGUUAAACCUUCGGGGCCUAAAGAUGAGCCUGCGUCUGAUUAGGUAGUUGGCGGAGUAAAAGCCCACCAAGCCUGCGAUCAGUAGCUGGUCUGAGAGGAUGAUCAGCCACACUGGAACUGAGACACGGUCCAGACUCCUACGGGAGGCAGCAGUAAGGAAUAUUGCUCAAUGGCCGAAAGGCUGAAGCAGCAACGCCGCGUGGAGGAUGAAAUACUUUUGUAUGUAAACUCCUGUAAGAAGGGAAAAAUAUUCCGAUUUAUCGGGAUUGAUUGUACCUUCAGAGUAAGCCCCGGCUAACUACGUG
This 481-nucleotide ribosomal RNA is filed under the name uncultured bacterium. Its description in RNAcentral is "bacterial SSU rRNA". It matches the Rfam family "Bacterial small subunit ribosomal RNA", at positions 28 to 507 of the family's 1533-position model. RNAcentral also lists the same sequence under 1 other name. The record is from RNAcentral.